RNAcentral lists this ribosomal RNA (253 nucleotides) under uncultured bacterium. Its description in RNAcentral is "partial 16S ribosomal RNA". It matches the Rfam family "Bacterial small subunit ribosomal RNA", at positions 524 to 776 of the family's 1533-position model. The record is from RNAcentral.
UACGUAGGGGGCAAGCGUUGUCCGGAGUUACUGGGCGUAAAGCGCACGCAGGCGGUCUUUUAAGUUUGGAGUGACAGUUGGUGGCUUAACUGCCAAAGUGCUUCGAAAACUGAGAGACUUGAGGGCUUCAGAGGGACACGGAAUUCCGGGUGGAGUGGUGAAAUUCGUAGAUAUCAGGAGGAACACCAGUGGCGAAGGCGGCUUUCUGGACGAUAACUGACGCUGAGACGCGAAAGCGUGGGGAGCAAACAGG